Molecule: ribosomal RNA, 395 nt
Filed under: uncultured bacterium
Lineage: Bacteria
Description: bacterial SSU rRNA
Rfam family: Bacterial small subunit ribosomal RNA
Source: RNAcentral
GACGAACGCUGGCGGCGUGCUUAACACAUGCAAGUCGAGCGGUAAGGCCCUUUCGGGGGUACACGAGCGGCGAACGGGUGAGUAACACGUGGGUGACCUGCCCUCAGCUCUGGGAUAAGCCUGGGAAACCGGGUCUAAUACUGGAUAUGACUCCAUGACGCAUGUUGUGGGGUGGAAAGCCUUGUGCGGCUGAGGAUGGGCCCGCGGCCUAUCAGCUUGUUGGUGGGGUGANGGCCUACCAAGGCGACGACGGGUAGCCGGCCUGAGAGGGCGACCGGCCACACUGGGACUGAGACACGGCCCAGACUCCUACGGGAGGCAGCAGUGGGGAAUCUUGCGCAAUGGGCGAAAGCCUGACGCAGCGACGCGCGUGAGGGAUGACGGCCUGGUGUAAC